This is a non-coding RNA of Pelobates cultripes (western spadefoot toad), 121 nucleotides long. Lineage: Eukaryota; Metazoa; Chordata; Amphibia; Anura; Pelobatidae. The record is from the annotation of a GenBank genome assembly.
AUCAGGUAAGUGAGGCAUGGGGGGAAGAGAGAGCCUAUAGAUCAGGUAAGUGAGGCUCUCCCCCCCAUGCCUCACUUACCUGAUCUAUAGGCUCUCUCUCCCCUGCCUCACUUACCUGAUC